Megalopta genalis is the source of this 2248-nucleotide non-coding RNA. Lineage: Eukaryota; Metazoa; Arthropoda; Insecta; Hymenoptera; Halictidae. The record is from RefSeq and is a predicted model, not a curated record.
GUUAUUUCCGCGCGAAGCAACUCGGCGGUUGCACCGUUUAAUCAACGAACUCUAUCGUCGAUUUGCAAAUUGGAUCCUGUCGGUCGGAGGUCACGAUGUGAUUCGGGUAUCUGCGGAGUGUACGAUCGUCGAGGUUGUGUCGCUCGAUUUUCACACUUGCCACUUGUCACGAGACUGCACUAGACGAAACAAUGUUGCUGCUCCCGGUAGCACCGGCGAACGAGAAAACAAUAGAGAGAGAGACAGGUAUGCGUGCUUUCACCGUGGAACUACUUUGUUCGAACUGCGCGAGAGAUACACACGCUUUGGAGGCCGCCGGCUUACUGUCAGCCAACCGCUUGGAAAACUCCCCGUAGGCCACGGGUUUAAAACGAGCCGCCUGUUGCCUCGUACAUCUUCGCCUCCUGUCGGCGAUCCUCGGCGUUCCUACACGGGCCGCCGCCACCGCCGCCGCCGCCACCGCCACCACUCGCCGCCGCUCGCCGCGCCGGUUACGAGCGUUAAUACACUCGCAGCUUUUGUGUACUCCUCGAAAGGGCACUGUUUCCCGCCACCUUUUUUCGCUGGAACUUUUCGUGGAUUCGCGAGGCGAUGUGCGAAGCAGAUGUUACGAGAACUCCUCGACCGUUUUAUCCGUCGGAUCUACCACGAAAAGUCCCGGGAGAUGGUUCUUUUGGCCCUCCGCGAUGUCGAUGAACGCGCCAGCAUGGCGAGUACCGGUUAUUCUUGGUUUGUUCAGAUGGAACUUAUGCGGAGAUAAUGGGCGAAUUGAACGAUAGAGACUUGACGAUGGUGGUGCCACUUCUAGUACAGUCGUCAUUAUGAUACCGUCUGUCUACCGCCAUAUUGAAGGGGUGAGAAUCAGUUCUACAAGAGGAUGAAGACGUUUUAUUAAAUAUCUGAGGAACUAAUGAAGCUGGAGAAACACGAUCCUAAAUGUAUUUCCACGAUGUAUUUUCUAAGUGUUGAAGGUUGUCCCUGCGACGGACGUAAUAUUUUAAAUUAGGGUAUUACAUUGUUGUAUGAUGAGCUGCGUCGCAUCUAGCGAAAGAAUGCGACGACUGUCUACUAUCUGCGUUGCCUUUUUCUUGAGGCUCCAACGGCCAAAAAUUUUGUUUUUUAGUCAGUUGCCUGCGGACGAGCGAGAUGAUUUCUUAAGUCUUCCAGCCAAAUGCUUGUCCAUCUAUGGUAUAUACACAUAGCUGUUUCUAUUAUCAAGCGAAUGUUAUAUUUACAAGAACAAGAUCGUCAGAAAUGUUAACUAGAAUCUGGUUUAUAGGUGAAGUUUUACUGUUACACUAAUGAAAACACAGUUUCACCGCAUGGGAACAAAGGAAAGAAAUGGAAAUGUAGAAAACAAAUAUGUGGACGUAUACCUGCUUCUUCAAAUUCGUAGUUGACUCAUUCAUCUGUUAUAACAGCAACGAGUUAACUCGUCAUUGCCUGUUGACAGGUUAAUAGCACGGUACAGUUUAAACAGACAUGUGAAAAAGACAAGUCUCUUCCCGGUACUCGUAGCUGGUCGCGCCGGCGCGGCGGUUUUUCUGUCUGUUCCCCGUUGUUGUUUUUUCUCCCCAUCGCGGGCAGAAUUUUUGCGAAGAAGCAACCGUGCAAACUUCAGCCGGGGACCGGGCGACUAGGUGGUCCGGUUCUGUUUGCCUUGCUCCUACUCGACGCUCGAGCGCAAAUAAUUGAAACAACGAGCGUGCGUGUACACGAGCGAAAACAAAUAAAACUGGUCGGGGGCACGCAUAUUUUUACGACGCAGCGCAACGAGCACCUUCAGCUCGCGACGAAACGCGUGCUAAUUUCGUCCGCGCGUUCUUCGGAAAUAUCGCGAUAGAAAUUCCAGUUUCGAGUCCGGGGCACGUUGCGGCCAUCAAUUGACAACAUUCGAAAAAGUCACUGUUUCGUAUUUAUUCAAAACUACGAGCACGAUGCGUUAAAAUGUCUAAAUAAUCAUAUUCAGCAACAUAACCUUGACAUAACCCCGACCUAACCGUGUCCUCUACACUUUAGGUAAGGUUUUAAAAAAAAACGGCUCAAAAUAUCCUGGGAUUCUUAUUCCGACAUAUUCGUCAGACAGUACAUUUUGAUACUAUAAAAACUUUUUAUUGCGAAAAGUUGCAGUCUUCAGAGUUAUUUAACAAAAUGAACCGGUCGUCAGCUUGAUACGCGAAUAUUUGCUUAUAGAAACAGAAGAUUUGAUUAUUCGAUAAAAAAUAAAACAAGAAUUGUUUUCAUGAAA